AGGGGUGUGGCUCAGUGGCAGAGCGCAUGCUUAUUAGCUAUGCAUGAGGUCCUGGGUUCAAUCCCCAGUGCCUCCU
Non-coding RNA from Vicugna pacos (alpaca), 76 nucleotides. Lineage: Eukaryota; Metazoa; Chordata; Mammalia; Artiodactyla; Camelidae. The record is from the annotation of a RefSeq genome assembly.